RNAcentral lists this ribosomal RNA (996 nucleotides) under Triticum aestivum (bread wheat). RNAcentral's name for it is "partial small subunit ribosomal RNA". The record is from RNAcentral. Lineage: Eukaryota; Viridiplantae; Streptophyta; Magnoliopsida; Poales; Poaceae.
AUGCUGGGGUUCAUUUAUUCCUGGCCCCUCGACUUUCUCCCGAGGAAAGCCCCCUCCCCGCGCUUCAUCUCCACCAGGAAAUUCGGUGCAGACAUUCCCAACAACCGCGGGGGUAACUAUAAAUACCCUACGUGGGACUGCCGCCAUGGUCGCGUUCUACUUCGGGAUAAUUGGGCGCCAACGCACCUUGUUGUUUGGGAUCCCAUGACGGGUCGCCAAAGAAAGCUAAAAGUGCCCACGUCGAUGGGCUACGUCGAUGGGGCCACUGCAUUCUUUUGUGCAGCGAGCGGUUGUGACCAUCGCGCGUGUCAUGCAGGGCCCUUCCAAGUGGUAUUCUUGGGCCUUGACAUGACAGAUGAUGACAAUUGUGUUGCACACGCACGUGUGUCCGCGCCGGUGACAGGUGACUGGAGCAAGUCAUGCUCUGAUUUUGAGUGGAGCGAUAUGUGCUCUAGUCUACAACUUUCACCUGAUGCAUUAAUCGACUCAAUGCCCUCCAUCCUUGUUGAAAACGCACUUCACUUCAUGCUUACACACGAUGCUGAUGAUAGUGUAGAAAUUCUCAAAUAUGACUUGAGCUCUAAUUGCUUAUGGCUGAUUGAUGCGCCAUUGUCCGGGGCUAUCAUUAGCGGUUCCACUAUCCUCAUGGCGAUGGAGGAUGGCAGUUUGGGUUUUGCGCAUGUGGACAAGGUAACCCUCAACAUAUGGUCAAGACAAUUGGAUGCUAAUGGAAUUGCGUCAUGGACUAUGUGUAGAGUCGUCGAACUCAUGAACCUUAUCCCUAUUCAAAAUCCAACCAAAAGGCUUAAACUGAUUGGAUCUGUGGAGGGCAGUGAUACCAUUUUCAUAACUGCGGACCUUGGCAUCUAUGAGGUUAAUAUCAGGACACUGCAAUGGAAGAAGCUAUGGAAGAGAGAGAAAUUCCGUUAUUUGAUACCAUACAUGAGUUUCUACAAUCCACCAGAAUGGCUGAGACCUUGUGAUGUGGCGCAUUGA